This 307-nucleotide ribosomal RNA is filed under the name uncultured bacterium. RNAcentral describes it as "bacterial SSU rRNA". It matches the Rfam family "Bacterial small subunit ribosomal RNA", at positions 28 to 327 of the family's 1533-position model. The record is from RNAcentral.
GAUGAACGCUAGCGGCAGGCUUAAUACAUGCAAGUCGUGGGCAAGCGUUGGUAGCAAUACCGGCGCCUAGACCGGCAAACGGGUGAGGAACACGUACACAACCUCCCUUCGAGUGGAGAAUAACCCGGGGAAACCUGGACUAAUACUCCGUAACAUGUUGAAAAAGGCAUCUUUUUUAAUAUUAUAGCAGCAAUGCGCUUGAAGACGGGUGUGCGUAUGAUUAGGUAGUUGGCGGGGUAACGGCCCACCAAGCCUACGAUCAUUAACUGGUGUGAGAGCACGAUCAGUCACACGGGCACUGAGACAC